This 689-nucleotide ribosomal RNA is filed under the name uncultured Lachnospiraceae bacterium. RNAcentral describes it as "bacterial SSU rRNA". It matches the Rfam family "Bacterial small subunit ribosomal RNA", at positions 28 to 718 of the family's 1533-position model. Lineage: Bacteria; Bacillati; Bacillota; Clostridia; Lachnospirales; Lachnospiraceae. The record is from RNAcentral.
GAUGAACGCUGGCGGCGUGCUUAACACAUGCAAGUCGAACGGGAAUUACUUUAUUGAAACUUCGGUCGAUUUAAUUUAAUUCUAGUGGCGGACGGGUGAGUAACGCGUGGGUAACCUGCCUUAUACAGGGGGAUAACAGUCAGAAAUGGCUGCUAAUACCGCAUAAGCGCACAGAGCUGCAUGGCUCAGUGUGAAAAACUCCGGUGGUAUAAGAUGGACCCGCGUUGGAUUAGCUAGUUGGUGGGGUAACGGCCCACCAAGGCGACGAUCCAUAGCCGGCCUGAGAGGGUGAACGGCCACAUUGGGACUGAGACACGGCCCAGACUCCUACGGGAGGCAGCAGUGGGGAAUAUUGCACAAUGGGGGAAACCCUGAUGCAGCGACGCCGCGUGAAGGAAGAAGUAUCUCGGUAUGUAAACUUCUAUCAGCAGGGAAGAUAGUGACGGUACCUGACUAAGAAGCCCCGGCUAACUACGUGCCAGCAGCCGCGGUAAUACGUAGGGGGCAAGCGUUAUCCGGAUUUACUGGGUGUAAAGGGAGCGUAGACGGUGUGGCAAGUCUGAUGUGAAAGGCAUGGGCUCAACCUGUGGACUGCAUUGGAAACUGUCAUACUUGAGUGCCGGAGGGGUAAGCGGAAUUCCUAGUGUAGCGGUGAAAUGCGUAGAUAUUAGGAGGAACACCAGUGGCGA